Molecule: ribosomal RNA, 253 nt
Filed under: uncultured bacterium
Lineage: Bacteria
Description: partial 16S ribosomal RNA
Rfam family: Bacterial small subunit ribosomal RNA
Source: RNAcentral
UACGUAGGGACCGAGCGUUGUCCGGAUUCAUUGGGCGUAAAGGGCUCGUAGGCGGUCUGUUGCGUCAGGAGUGAAAACUCGGGGCUUAACCCCGAGCCUGCUUUCGAUACGGGCAGACUGGAGGUAUGCAGGGGAGAACGGAAUUCCCGGUGUAGUGGUGAAAUGCGUAGAGAUCGGGAGGAACACCUGUGGCGAAGGCGGCCCCCUGGGCCGCGCCUGACGCUGAGACGCGAAGGCUAGGGGAGCGAACGGG